GUCGAGCGGGGGAAGGUAGCUUGCUACCGGACCUAGCGGCGGACGGGUGAGUAAUGCUUAGGAAUCUGCCUAUUAGUGGGGGACAACAUCUCGAAAGGGAUGCUAAUACCGCAUACGUCCUACGGGAGAAAGCAGGGGAUCUUCGGACCUUGCGCUAAUAGAUGAGCCUAAGUCGGAUUAGCUAGUUGGUGGGGUAAAGGCCUACCAAGGCGACGAUCUGUAGCGGGUCUGAGAGGAUGAUCCGCCACACUGGGACUGAGACACGGCCCAGACUCCUACGGGAGGCAGCAGUGGGGAAUAUUGGACAAUGGGGGGAACCCUGAUCCAGCCAUGCCGCGUGUGUGAAGAAGGCCUUA
Molecule: ribosomal RNA, 356 nt
Filed under: Acinetobacter baumannii OIFC137
Lineage: Bacteria; Pseudomonadati; Pseudomonadota; Gammaproteobacteria; Moraxellales; Moraxellaceae
Description: bacterial SSU rRNA
Rfam family: Bacterial small subunit ribosomal RNA
Source: RNAcentral